GUUUUGCUUUCAUUUUCAGUUUAAGGUGUUCAGUUGUUUCAGGAUUAUGAGCAACGAAUGUGAUGAACGUCACGUUGAUUCAUCAAAUACUUUCAUUUUAUGACGAUCUUUUUGAUUUUUAAAGAUUAUCAGAGCCAAUGACAAACUACUAAAACCCUGUGCUUCAUCUGCGUCGAUGUUCCGAAACCAGCAAGGUUUCCAGAGGGCGUCCUUGUUCUGGAUUUUAUUUGUCAGCCAAUCCCAAAUCUCCGUGUAAAAUGACGUGCAGAAGAACAUCUGUCAGAGCUGCAGCUGUGCUGAUGAUACUUGUGAUGAAUGUCUUCAGAGGACACUCCCUCACAUGUCGUCGAUUAGAGUAUCAGAUUGGGACUGAAUGCUGUCCCAUGUGUCCCCCUGGAAAUCGAGUUAAAACUCACUGCACUGAGGCUUCAACAACUUCCUGUCAGAGUUGCACUGAGGGAACCUUCAUGAAUCAUCCUACUGGCCAUGUGAAAUGUUUUACAUGUACAAGCUGUGAUGCAGCUUCUGGUUUGAAAUUAAAAACUUCAUGUACAGCAACAUCAGAUGCUGUGUGUGAGCCACUGGAGGGAUUCUACUGCAUGGACUCUGCAGAGGAGGGCUGUAAGGCAGCAGAGAAACACUCAAGCUGUCAGCCAGGACAGUACAUCAGUCAGAGAGGAACAGCAUUAAGAGACACUGAGUGCUCUGACUGCAGUGAGGGAACAUAUUCUGAUGGAACAUUUCCAUCCUGUCAGCCACACACACAAUGUGAAUCAGAGCAUCGUCAGCUGAUAAAAGCAGGGACUGUUUCAACUGAUGCUGAAUGUGGAGAGCAAAGUCCAGACAACACAGGACUUGUGGUCGUCGUUGGUGUGGUUGUAGGUCUUAUAGCAGCUGCAGCAGCUACAGCAGUUGCAUGGUGGUGUAUCAGAAAGAGGAAAAGCAGUGAAGACAAAAUAAAAGCAAGAACACAGAGAAGUGAGUCUCACACUCUGCUGUUGUUACUAACAAGUCUGUUUCACUGCAUGUACAGAAGGAGCUACAAGUGAUUUUUCUAAUUAAUAAGAUGAUGUCACUCAUUAUGAAUUUUUCUCAAAGAAAGAACACGUGCAGCUGAAUCAGUGCUGAUGGUUCGACAGCCAUAGUGACAGCAGCAGGUGGAAGCUCCUAGAGUGGAUCCACCUGUGUAGCCAGGCGAUGCUGCUGAUUGGCCAGCUUUAAGCUUCAAUGGACCAAUCAUCAUUCGGGGGCCUCUUUAUAUAAACGGCUUCACAGCUGUAUGCUCUUCCUGGACCUUUGUUUUUCAGGCUGUUUGGUUUGUUUUUUUACUUGGCAAAUGAAGGUAAAGCUGUUUAGUGGGAGAUAGGGUUUGCUAAGUAAUAUACAUUUUUACAGCACAGAGAAGUUAUUUGUCUACAUACACCAGGUUUACUGGAUGUUGCCACUGACUGUAUUUAAUUAAUUAAGUCUCUUCUUAGAUAAGAGAGGUAGGAGUUUUUUUUGUUCUUUUCUUGCAUUCUGUCAAACUGUGGUGAGGUCUUGUUUUGGGUUUAUGUCUUGUCAUUUCCUGUUUUAUUUUGAAAAGUAAGUCUCAUCUUGUUUCAGGUCACUUGCCCUUCCUCAUGUGUCUCCUGUCUGAUUGUCUCCCCCGAUCGUGUCCACCUGUUCACCUUUACCUCCAUGUGUUCUAAUGGUCUGUGUCCUCCUUGUCUUGUGUGUGUUUUGUCUUUGCCACAGCCUUGAUUUUUGCCUUGAGCUUCUUUCUUCUUUGCCUCUGCAUCAGAGUGAUUUUGUGUUGUAAGUUUCUUAGUUUAGGAUUUAUUCAUUUGAUUUCUUUUUUAUCCGUAGGAGUGAUUAUUAGUUCCUUCUUAGAUUCAUUUAGUUGAUGGUUCCUCCUCUCCUCUUUUUUUUUUUUUGUUUGUUUUUUGUUCCUUGUAGAUUUUGCCUUCCUUUCAGUUAUUUGCCUCCUGUUGGAGUGGGGAUCCUUAGUUCUAGAGAUUAUUGUGUUUUCAUUUGUAACUUUUCAUAGCUCUUUUGUUUUCUCUCUUCUGAGAUUAAUCAUUUUCAUAGCUGUGCGCCUUCAAGUUGAAGGUGUGCUUCAGGUAAUUUCAUAGCCUAUUGUUUGUUGACACACUGUAUGAGGUAUAACCCAGUUGAUUUUGAAUGAUAAAGUCAGCUCCAUUACCUACCUUCUCUGUGUUUGAGUCCACAAUCAGCAGUGAGCAGUCAGGCUUAGUUUUAUUGUACUGUUUUUGAUUAUUUUGGCACAACCACACAGUUCUCUUUUCUCCUCCACAUUCUUUUUGGUUUCAAUUCCUGUUGAAUUUAGUUUGCUUUAAAAAUAAAACUUAUUUUCUCCA
This is an RNA transcript of Scatophagus argus, 2360 nucleotides long. It is a transcript of the gene named tumor necrosis factor receptor superfamily member 14-like, with no coding region annotated. The transcript is spliced from 9 exons. Lineage: Eukaryota; Metazoa; Chordata; Actinopteri; Scatophagidae. The record is from RefSeq and is a predicted model, not a curated record.